Molecule: ribosomal RNA, 393 nt
Filed under: uncultured bacterium
Lineage: Bacteria
Description: partial 16S ribosomal RNA
Rfam family: Bacterial small subunit ribosomal RNA
Source: RNAcentral
AUACGGAGGAUCCGAGCGUUAUCCGGAUUUAUUGGGUUUAAAGGGAGCGUAGGCGGACGCUUAAGUCAGUUGUGAAAGUUUGCGGCUCAACCGUAAAAUUGCAGUUGAUACUGGGUGUCUUGAGUACAGUAGAGGCAGGGGGGAUUUGUGGGGUGGCGGGUGAAUGCUUAGAUAUCACGAAGAACUCCGAUUGCGAAGGCAGCCUGCUGGACUGUAACUGACGCUGAUGCUCGAAAGUGUGGGUAUCAAACAGGAUUAGAUACCCUGGUAGUCCACACAGUAAACGAUGAAUACUCGCUGUUUGCGAUAUACAGUAAGCGGCCAAGCGAAAGCGUUAAGUAUUCCACCUGGGGAGUACGCCGGCAACGGUGAAACUCAAAUGAAUUGACGGGG